This 404-nucleotide ribosomal RNA is filed under the name Fusobacteriota bacterium. RNAcentral's name for it is "Fusobacteria bacterium partial 16S ribosomal RNA". It matches the Rfam family "Bacterial small subunit ribosomal RNA", at positions 355 to 776 of the family's 1533-position model. Lineage: Bacteria; Fusobacteriati; Fusobacteriota. The record is from RNAcentral.
UGGGGAAUAUUGCACAAUGGAGGGAACUCUGAUGCAGCGACGCCGCGUGAGUGAUGAAGGAAUUCGUUUCGUAAAACUCUUUUCUAUGGGAAGAAAAGGACUGUACCAUAGGAGAAAGCUCCGGCUAAAUACGUGCCAGCAGUCGCGGUAAUACGUAUGGAGCGAGCGUUGUCCGGAAUUAUUGGGCGUAAAGGGUGCGCAGGCGGCUUUACAAGUUGGAUGUGAAAUAUUGUGGCUCAACCACAAACGUGCAUCCAAAACUGCAAAGCUUGAGUUAAGGGGAGGUAAGUGGAAUUCCUGGUGUAGCGGUGGAAUGCGUAGAUAUCAGGAGAAAUACCGGUGGCGAAGGCGACUUACGGGACUUAAACUGACGCUCAGGCACGAAAGCGUGGGGAGCAAACAGG